Molecule: non-coding RNA, 101 nt
Organism: Cucurbita pepo subsp. pepo (vegetable marrow)
Lineage: Eukaryota; Viridiplantae; Streptophyta; Magnoliopsida; Cucurbitales; Cucurbitaceae
Source: RefSeq, a predicted model, not a curated record
GUAAUCAAUAAUUUACUCCAAUAAAAUUGGAAUGAUUCAAAGAUUAGCAUGACCUCUAUACAAGGAUGACAAACACAAAUCGAGAAAUAGUCCAAUUUUUU